Molecule: ribosomal RNA, 329 nt
Filed under: uncultured eukaryote
Lineage: Eukaryota
Description: partial 18S ribosomal RNA
Rfam family: Eukaryotic small subunit ribosomal RNA
Source: RNAcentral
CCCUUAGAUGUUCUGGGCCGCACGCGCGCUACACUGACGAUGGCAACGAGUUUUUCCUUCGCCGAAAGGUGUGGGUAAUCUUUUGAAACAUCGUCGUGCUGGGGAUAGAUCAUUGCAAUUGUUGAUCUUGAACGAGGAAUUCCUAGUAAGCGCGAGUCAUCAGCUCGCGUUGAUUACGUCCCUGCCCUUUGUACACACCGCCCGUCGCUACUACCGAUUGAAUGGUUUAGUGAGGACUCCUGAUUGGCGCCGCCGCCCCGGCAACGGAGCAGCGGACUGCCGAAAAGUUGUUCAAACUUGAUCAUUUAGAGGAAGUAAAAGUCGUAACA